Non-coding RNA from Cinara cedri, 288 nucleotides. NCBI's taxonomy places the organism in Eukaryota, Metazoa, Arthropoda, Insecta, Hemiptera, Aphididae. The record is from the annotation of a GenBank genome assembly.
AAUAUUAUCUACACUAUUUUUUUAUAAAUGGCGUUUCGCACCUAAUAAAAAACGCACAAUUUUUGAUUAAUCAUGUGUAAUUUUAUCAUAACUCAAAAUAUAAAAUAUAGAAAUAAUCAUGCAUCAUACCUAUCAAUUAAAAAAAAAAAUAAUAAUAAAAACCUCAUAAAACACUGCACAAUUUAUUGUUGAUUGUAAACUAUUAAAAUUCUCGAUGUUUGCAAUUACUUACCGUUUAAAAUACAAUUUAUUAUAGGUAGGUAUCAACAACUUAGGUAUAGAGGCUUA